GCACUGGAAUCAUCCAAAUUUCCACGCCUACUUCCCGACCGCAAACUCAUUUGCCGCGAUAUUAGGGGACAUGGUUUCAGAUGCAAUAGCAUGUGUUGGAUUUUCGUGGAUUGCCAGUCCAGCGUGCACAGAACUUGAGAUGAUGAUGAUGAAUUGGUUAGGGAGGAUGCUGAAGCUUCCUGCAUCGUUCUUAUUCAAUGAAGAGAGCCAAGGAGGGGGCGUUAUACAGGGCACAGCGAGCGAGGCGACUCUUGUAGCUUUGCUGGCAGCCAAGAUGAAAACAAUUCGACAGAAGAUAGACGAAGAUCCCAGUCUUGAUCAGUAUGACGUCAUGUCAAAACUUGUCGUAUACACUUCAGAUCAGGUAGGCCUAUAUAUCUCACUCAAU
Lytechinus pictus (painted urchin) is the source of this 388-nucleotide long non-coding RNA. RefSeq lists it as uncharacterized. NCBI's taxonomy places the organism in Eukaryota, Metazoa, Echinodermata, Echinoidea, Temnopleuroida, Toxopneustidae. The transcript is spliced from 3 exons. The record is from RefSeq and is a predicted model, not a curated record.